AUGGCCUGGGUCGGUGCCACCUGCCUGACACAGGAGCGGCCCCGGCCUGUCUCCCCAACUCGAGGUCCGCCAGGCGCACGCCAGGAGGAUACUGUCCUGCGCUCUGCUCGGUCGUGGGGAAGAAUCACCCGCCGGCUUGAGUGGGGACACCGGCCCCGCGGUCCCGGGAGAUUCCAGGAGCACAUGCAGGCUGCGCACCAGCACCGCGAGGGGCGCCGUCCCCGACCCUGUGCCAUUCCACAGGACGGCGACACUCGGGCCGGAGGGCGGGUGACCCGGGGGGGGGCGGCACCCGGGGUGCCCAACAGAAUCAGGACCCAAAACUUCCCGACGGCGGGCGCCUCUCGGCCACGGGGCGUCUUCGGAGACGAGCGCAGGCCCGGCUGCGGACAGUGGUCCCCGGAAGGGCCGCCGAGGCCGCGGGGGAGGAAGGGGCGCCCAGCCGCAGGUCCCGGGGGCAGGGGCACCCGGAGGGGAGCCCCGGGACGCGGAGCUGGUCCCCCAGGACUGCGCUGCCCUCCUGUGUAUGGGAGGAGGGGACAAUCGUCAGCAGGCUCCACGCCCUGCGCAGCCCCACGACCCCUGACAUCACGACCCGAGGCCGCCAGGCGCCCCAGCUCUCGGCGGUCAGCAGUGCCCUCAGUGGCUGGUCCCCCCACCGGGCCUGGGCCCCCCCCGCCAGGUCCUACCCAUGCACCCCAGGGCGCUUCCGCGGACACCAGGGCCUUUGCACUCGCUCCCCUGCCGCCGACGCCCCGGCCCUCCGUGGCCCGCGUCCCUCGCUCCGGCGAAGCACACGCGUCACCCGGUCACCUCAGGAAAGGGCCGCACAGCCCCGCAUGUCCCACCGCGUCCCGCUCGUGCCCACUGCCUUCCUGCCACGGACCGUCCGCCCUCAUCGGGCCCCCGAGUGGGGCACUGUCCCCGGCCAGGCCACUGCGGAUGACGGCGUCCCACACCACGUGCCCGGGGCGGCCGCGGUCACACAGCGAGUGGGGUGCGGGCCAGAGCGGGGACCGGCGGCUGGCGGUGGGGACGCGGGGCUCUGGGGCCGCCCGGGGACAGGCAGGCCUCACACCCGAGUGUCUGUCACCCGAUGCCGCGGGGGAGGGACGCAGCCCCUGUGCCUCCAGGGCCCCUCACGGCUCUGGCGCGUCUCCACCGCCCUCCGUCAUUCUGUUCAUUUAA
RNAcentral lists this long non-coding RNA (1188 nucleotides) under Canis lupus familiaris (dog). RNAcentral's name for it is "lncRNA (ENSCAFG00040007744.1)". The record is from RNAcentral. Lineage: Eukaryota; Metazoa; Chordata; Mammalia; Carnivora; Canidae.